GAUGAACGCUGGCGGCGUGCCUAAUACAUGCAAGUCGAGCGAACAGACGAGGAGCUUGCUCCUCUGACGUUAGCGGCGGACGGGGGAGUAACACGUGGAUAACCUACCUAUAAGACUGGGAGAACUUCGGGAAACCGGAGCUAAUACCGGAUAAUAUAUUGAACCGCAUGGUUCAAUAGUGAAAGACGGUUUUGCUGUCACUGAUAGAGGGAUCCGCGCCGCAUUAGCUAGUUGGUAAGGUAACGGCUUACCAAGGCGACGAUGCGUAGCCGACUUGAGAGGGUGAUCGGCCACCCUGGAACUGAGACACGGUCCAGACUCCUACGGGAGGCAGCAGUAGGGAAUCUUCCGCAAUGGGCGAAAGCCUGACGGAGCAACGCCGCGUGAGUGAUGAAGGUCUUCGGAUCGUAGAACUCUGUUAUUAGGGCAGACCAAAUGUGUAAGUAACUAUGCACGUCUUGACGGUACCUAAUCAGAAAGCCCCGGCUAACUACGUG
This 497-nucleotide ribosomal RNA is filed under the name uncultured bacterium. Its description in RNAcentral is "partial 16S ribosomal RNA". It matches the Rfam family "Bacterial small subunit ribosomal RNA", at positions 28 to 507 of the family's 1533-position model. The record is from RNAcentral.